GGGGGUGAAUUUGGCUUCGACGGGAUUAACGAAGCAAUAAAUUGCGCAUCGUGUUUCUCCGGCAGACACGUUAAACGGCUGGUAAAUAAACCUUAACUGGCGAAUAUAACUACGCCCUCGCUGCUUAAUUAGUUAAGCAGCCGUUCUUUGUAAGUUCUCGUAUCGGUUUACAAAAGAACGUCGUUUAGAUACGAUAGCCAAGCCGAGUGUUUGAGGCG
RNAcentral lists this transfer-messenger RNA (218 nucleotides) under Ignavibacteria bacterium CG08_land_8_20_14_0_20_37_9. RNAcentral describes it as "partial transfer-messenger RNA". It matches the Rfam family "transfer-messenger RNA", at positions 1 to 229 of the family's 374-position model. Rfam says of the family: Bacterial tmRNA, also known as 10Sa RNA or SsrA, is named for its dual tRNA and mRNA-like properties. Its role is to liberate the mRNA from a stalled ribosome. Lineage: Bacteria; Pseudomonadati; Ignavibacteriota; Ignavibacteria. The record is from RNAcentral.